This 135-nucleotide small nucleolar RNA is filed under the name Cephalotus follicularis. Its description in RNAcentral is "Small nucleolar RNA snoR138". It matches the Rfam family "Small nucleolar RNA snoR138". Lineage: Eukaryota; Viridiplantae; Streptophyta; Magnoliopsida; Oxalidales; Cephalotaceae. The record is from Rfam by way of RNAcentral.
UUUGCCUCUUGAAUAACCAGAAGGUAUUAUUACACGACAUCAUUUGGUUCAGACAGAGGCAUACAACAACCCCCAAAUCCGUUUGAGGGAAAGGAACCCAUCCUCCGUUACUUUCCUAGAUAGAUUUGUACAUUU